RNAcentral lists this ribosomal RNA (253 nucleotides) under uncultured bacterium. RNAcentral describes it as "partial 16S ribosomal RNA". It matches the Rfam family "Bacterial small subunit ribosomal RNA", at positions 524 to 776 of the family's 1533-position model. The record is from RNAcentral.
UACGUAGGGGGCAAGCGUUGUCCGGAUUUAUUGGGCGUAAAGAGCGUGUAGGCGGCCUUACAGGUCAGCUGUGAAAACUCGAGGCUCAACCUCGAGACGUCGAUGGAAACCGUAUGGCUAGAGUCCGGAAGAGGAGAGUGGAAUUCCUGGUGUAGCGGUGAAAUGCGCAGAUAUCAGGAAGAACACCCGUGGCGAAGGCGGCUCUCUGGGACGGUACUGACGCUGAGGAGCGAAAGCGUGGGGAGCGAACAGG